Molecule: ribosomal RNA, 468 nt
Filed under: uncultured bacterium
Lineage: Bacteria
Description: partial 16S ribosomal RNA
Rfam family: Bacterial small subunit ribosomal RNA
Source: RNAcentral
GACGAACGCUGGCGGCGUGCUUAACACAUGCAAGUCGAACGGAGAGGCCCUGCUUUUGUGGGGUGCUCGAGUGGCGAACGGGUGAGUAACACGUGAGUAACCUGCCCUUGACUUUGGGAUAACUUCAGGAAACUGGGGCUAAUACCGGAUAGGAGCUCCUGCUGCAUGGUGGGGGUUGGAAAGUUUCGGCGGUUGGGGAUGGACUCGCGGCUUAUCAGCGUGUUGGUGGGGUAGUGGCUUACCAAGGCUUUGACGGGUAGCCGGCCUGAGAGGGUGACCGGCCACAUUGGGACUGAGAUACGGCCCAGACUCCUACGGGAGGCAGCAGUGGGGAAUAUUGCACAAUGGGCGGAAGCCUGAUGCAGCAACGCCGCGUGCGGGAUGACGGCCUUCGGGUUGUAAACCGCUUUCGCCUGUGACGAAGCGUGAGUGACGGUAAUGGGUAAAGAAGCACCGGCUAACUACGUG